UACGUAGGGUGCAAGCGUUGUCCGGAUUUAUUGGGCGUAAAGAGCGUGUAGGCGGCCUGAAAGGUCAGCUGUGAAAACUCGAGGCUCAACCUCGAGACGUCGGUUGAAACCAUCUGGCUAGAGUCCGGAAGAGGAGUGUGGAAUUCCCGGUGUAGCGGUGAAAUGCGCAGAUAUCAGGAGGAACACCGGUGGCGAAGGCGGGUCUCUGGGCCAAUACUGACGCUGAGGAGCGAAAGCGUGGGGAGCGAACAGG
RNAcentral lists this ribosomal RNA (253 nucleotides) under uncultured bacterium. RNAcentral describes it as "partial 16S ribosomal RNA". It matches the Rfam family "Bacterial small subunit ribosomal RNA", at positions 524 to 776 of the family's 1533-position model. The record is from RNAcentral.